CCUACGGGUGGCAGCAGUGGGGGAUAUUGCACAAUGGGGGAAACCCUGAUGCAGCGACGCCGCGUGUGGGAAGACGGUCCUCUUGAUUGUAAACCACUGUCCCCAGGGACGAAGAUGACGGUACCUGGGGAGGAAGCUCCGGCUAACUACGUGCCAGCAGCAGCGGUAAUACGUAGGGAGCGAGCGUUGUCGGGAAUUACUGGGUGUAAAUGGAGCGUAGGCGGGGAUGCAAGUUGGGGGUCAAAAAGACAGGCUAAACUGGUGGUAGCACUCAAAACUGCAGCUCUAGAGUGAAGUAGAGGAAGGCGGAAGUCCUAGUGUAGCGGUGAAAUGCGUAGAUAUUAGGAGGAACACCAGUGGCGAAGGCGGCCUGCUGGGCUUUUACUGACGCUGAGGCUCGAAAGUGUGGGGAGCAAACAGGAUUAGAUACCCCAGUAGUC
RNAcentral lists this ribosomal RNA (440 nucleotides) under uncultured bacterium. RNAcentral's name for it is "partial 16S ribosomal RNA". It matches the Rfam family "Bacterial small subunit ribosomal RNA", at positions 338 to 795 of the family's 1533-position model. The record is from RNAcentral.